Molecule: ribosomal RNA, 468 nt
Filed under: uncultured bacterium
Lineage: Bacteria
Description: partial 16S ribosomal RNA
Rfam family: Bacterial small subunit ribosomal RNA
Source: RNAcentral
GACGAACGCUGGCGGCGUGCUUAACACAUGCAAGUCGAACGGAAAGGCCCUGCUUUUGUGGGGUGCUCGAGUGGCGAACGGGUGAGUAACACGUGAGUAACCUGCCCUGGACUUUGUGAUAACUUCAGGAAACUGGGGCUAAUACCGGAUAGGAGCUCCUGCUGCAUGGUGGGGGUUGGAAAGUUUCGGCGGUUGGGGAUGGACUCGCGGCUUAUCAGCUUGUUGGUGGGGUAGUGGCUUACCAAGGCUUUGACGGGUAGCCGGCAUGAGAGGGUGAACGGCCACAUUGGGACUGAGGGACGGCCCAGACUCCUACGGGAGGCAGCAGUGGGGAAUAUUGCACAAUGGGCGGAAGCCUGAUGCAGCAACGCCGCGUGCGGGAUGACGGCCUUCGGGUUGUAAACCGCUUUCGCCUGUGACGAAGCGUGAGUGACGGUAAUGGGUAAAGAAGCACCGGCUAACUACGUG